CCCGGACCCCCCUCGGGAUCCGCUUCGCCCACCCCGGCAGGUGACAGACCCUCCCGGACCCCCCUUUGGACCUCUACCCGCCCGCUCCGACAGGUGAGAUACCCCCGGAUCCCCUCUGGUCCUCGCCCCGCCUCCUCCGCCAGGUGCGGAACCCCCGGACCCUCCGUCGGAUCCCGGCCCGUGUCCCCCGGCAGGUGUCUUGUCACAGUAUUGUGAGCAGGUUUCUAAUGCCAACCAGUGGCUUUGCUCGGUAUGUACACACACUGCGACGAGACAUGGACGGCAUCCCAGGACACCAUCCCAAGAAAACCCCAUCCCAACAAACUCCUGUCCCACGCAGCGCUGGAUGGCCAGGCCUGAAGCCAUUUGCACACCUUGCACAGCACUUGUGGAGUUGCACAGCCUUUGCACAGGGUUUGCACAGCCUGCACAUGUUGCUGGCAUGGUUAGCACAGCAUUUGCACACUCAGCGUGCUCACACGGGGCCUUGCACACAUCACCCCCAGCAGUCAGUGACCCCCGGGAGCCUAACCCAGCUGGGGCAGGAGGCAGAGGAAGGGCUAGCAGAGGAAGGCUUCAUCAACUGUUAUUCUUCUGUCAGUCCCUUAUUAAAUCCAGCCUGAUGCUGUUCAGAUACUAAAGGUAAUUUUUAAAAACCAUCUGACAAGACCUCUCAUCCCUGCAUCCUCACUCCCCCCUGGCCAGGGUGCUGAGAGCCCUCCCAGAACCAGGACAUGGCAGCAGGGCUCUGUGCUCAGGGCCUCUCUUCCCAAAGAUGGGAAUGCUGAAAAGCACUGUCCGGUCCUGUCCCACUUAAUCUCACCUCAGAGAGCAGCCCCAGGCUCCAAACUGUGCUCCUGAUGCUCCCACUGCAGCACAUGGCAGCACUCAGUGCUGCCCAAGGAAGGGACCAAAAGGGUCAGCAAAAGUAUGGAAGGAUGAUGGGGUGAGAAGGACUGCCGAAUGGGCAGACAAGUCUAUCCAUAAACCUCCAGGCUUCUUGCAAUGGUUUCUGGAGCAUCCUGCCUGGAACCAUUUCACACAGUCAGUUUUAUGGGAAAAAGUGAAAGGUACAAAAAUGGUGAGUGUGGGCCCCAGUCCCACAACCUUUCAGCCUCAAGCCCCCAAGUCUGUACAUCCUCCUGCAGGUUGGGGUGCAUGCAACUGCCACAUAUGUGGGACCCCAAGCUUCACCAAAUUCCCUGGGACUGUCACUGUCACUGUCACUGCA
Molecule: long non-coding RNA, 1231 nt
Organism: Passer domesticus (house sparrow)
Lineage: Eukaryota; Metazoa; Chordata; Aves; Passeriformes; Passeridae
Exons: 3
Source: RefSeq, a predicted model, not a curated record